CGGAGGGCUUGCCUUCCUUGUCACGUGCGCCGCCCAAAUGGAAAAAUACUCCGCCCGGGGUCAGGGGACGUUCGGGGGAGGGAGAGGGAGAGGGACCCCCACUGCAAGCAGCCUUCUCCCAGGCUGUGCAGGCACUGAGGCCACGUCUGGUUAAUCGUUGGCUAGAAAUCAAUCCCCGGAGAGAUGGCCCCUGAUAAGGGCAGCGCGAGCACGGCCAGGGAAGGGGCCCAUCCUUCUCCGCAGUCGGCUAACGAGCUUCAGGCGGAGAGCCAGCUGUGCAAACUGCACUGGGGAGCCUUAUCAAGCUUGGGAGAGCAGCGCGCCGAGAGCGAUGAGGCCGAUCCACUUGGUCGCCGGCUGGCCGUGCCCUCUGGCCCACUUUCUGGAACCAGCCCGUUUUCUUUGAGGCUGCUGGAGGUCCCAGGUUCCAAUGUGCUGGCAGGAUGCUCUCUUCUCCCUGGGAGAGACGGGGAAGGGAUCUGAGUGGUAUAGAGGUGACUCACCCGCCUUGCUGGGCAGCUUGACGGGAUCGUGCCUGGGCUUACCAGAGUCUGAAGAACACAGGAGGAGGUACCAUGCUGCCAGCCAGGUCAGGAGGUGAAGCUGUUAGUGGGGUGGCUUUUUCCAGGAUGCCUGGGGAUAGAGGAAAUUAGACGUUGCUGAGGCCCAGGCUGGCGAGCAGAGAACGGUGGAAAGGAGGAGGACAGGCUCGCCCUUCCCCUGACCAGUGCAGAAUUGAAUGAAUUGAUUCCCAAACCAGAGUUUGGCCAGGAUUCCAUUCUGCACCGAGGAAAGUUCUCUAGCUGAAGGGAUCUGUGCCCCACAAGCUAAGUAUGAGGAAUCAGCAGCCAAGUUGGGUGCUUUCUCUCUCUCUCCUCAUGUCCCCAUUCACUUAGUCACCCUCCCCUCUCUUUCAACUGGCCUUCCUGCUUCCAAGAUCUUCCCCCUUUCUGGGCCACUCUCCACCAAGGUGCCAGAUUUCUGAGGUCUGAGGUCGCCCGCCCCCCAUUUAAGAAGCUACAUUAUCGUUAGGAGUGUGGGUUGAGAAGAUCUGGGUUGGAAUCCUGGCUCUUCUGCUUCUUCCUAGGUGACUCCAACUCCCUGGUUUUCAGCUCCCUUGACUAGAAAACAAGGGGGUUGGACCAGCUUCACUCUAAGGUCCCUUCCCAUUCUAACUCCAGGAUCCUAUAAAAAACAAUGCAAAUACUUCUAUUUGCCCUUUAAAGCCUUUCAGAGACUGGCUGCACCUUCUCUUCCAUGGCUGACGAUGCAUUCUUUCCAUACACAUAUUGUCAGUCACUCAGCCAGUCAACAGGUAUGCCACAAUUUCCAAAGUGUAAAUGCUCAAAAUUAAAAUUUAACUAUCAGCUCUCCUGAGCCAUCCAAGCUGGUUCAGCACACCCUACCCCACUCUCCCCA
Molecule: long non-coding RNA, 1419 nt
Filed under: Monodelphis domestica (gray short-tailed opossum)
Lineage: Eukaryota; Metazoa; Chordata; Mammalia; Didelphimorphia; Didelphidae
Description: lncRNA (ENSMODG00000034387.2)
Source: RNAcentral